GACGAAACGCUAGCGGCGUGCCUGACACAUGCAAGUCGGACGGUUCUUGUAUCUUCAAGCUUGCUUGCAGGUGCAAGGAUAGUGGCGGACGGGUGAGUAACGCGUGAACAUCUACCCAUUGGAGGGGGACAACCCGUCGAAAGGCGGGCUAAUACCGCGUAAGCCGCGAGGUGAGAGGCUGCCUAUUGGUGGCCGCCGAUGGAUGGGUUCCGUCCUAUCAGCUGGUUGGUGGGGUAACGGCCUACCAAGGCGAAGACGGGUAGCCGGUCUGAGAGGAUGGCCGGCCACACUGGAACUGAGACACGGGUCCAGACUCCUACGGGAGGCAGCAGUGGGGAAUUUUGGACAAUGGGCGCAAGCCUGAUCCAGCCAUUCCGCGUGCAGGACGAAGGCCUUCGGGUUGUAAACUGCUUUUGUACGGAACGAAAAGGUCUUCUCUAAUACAGAGGGCCCAUGACGUACCGUAAGAAUAAGCACCGGCUAACUACGUGCCAGCAGCCGCGGUAAGCU
Molecule: ribosomal RNA, 510 nt
Filed under: uncultured bacterium
Lineage: Bacteria
Description: bacterial SSU rRNA
Rfam family: Bacterial small subunit ribosomal RNA
Source: RNAcentral